Long non-coding RNA from Amblyraja radiata (thorny skate), 1053 nucleotides. RefSeq lists it as uncharacterized. The transcript is spliced from 2 exons. Lineage: Eukaryota; Metazoa; Chordata; Chondrichthyes; Rajiformes; Rajidae. The record is from RefSeq and is a predicted model, not a curated record.
UUUUUUUUUGGACUGGGGCAAUGGUGGCUGAGAAGAGAGGGGGUGGGGAGAAAGCAAUUACGUGGAGUGGAAAGAAAUGCAAAGAGGAAGUUUCAGAACAUUGAGGGAGUGGGGUGAGCAACGAGGAAGAACAAAAUACAGAAUGUGAAAGUCUCCUCUGGAGGUGCUGGAAGGAAACAGGAGAAGCGAAGCAACAGACUUUUUGCAAAACCAGGAAGCCAGCGCAAAGAUGACUCCGAUUGAACGAAAUGCAACCGAGCAGCAACACAUGGGUAGACUUAUUGAAAGCCCUUUAAAGGCACGCAGCGGUGGAAGGUACAAAUGCUUUAAUCGACAUAAAGGCACAAGAUCAGAAGAAGGAAAAGAAAAACGGGAGAUCUGAAGAAGUUGGGAUAACUAUCCGUGCACGAAAGGGUGGAAAGAAAUGCAAUUCAAGACGCCUGGCGCGAAGGGGAAGUUUGCAAGGCCAUGUGCUUGCAGUAAACAAAUAAUAGCGUGUUCUUUGCAUCCGCGUGGAUUUAAUUCUCCAGUGCAGACGUUUCAAGAGAAGUGAAUGGCAAAUCAAGCCAGCGCACAGAGGAGUCCUGUUGAAGCCUAGAGGACUAGUGGAUUGGAUAAUUAAUGCAAAAUGACUGAUCGCUCUUGAAGAAGGCAAGUCCUGCAAAGAGGAUUGUGCGUGAUCAAUGAAGCAUCACUGACUGACAGUUUCCUUCGAUCUUACACCCAGAUCCAACUACCGGAACGAGGACUUGUCACCAGAGGCCGGAGGCUAUUCUCUACAUGCUUGCAGCGCAACGCAACAAAAAAAACACACACAAAAAAAAGGGAAGAGAAACGGGACGCUUCUUGAUCAGUUUUCUAAAACAAAACGCAGAAGGGAACGAUAGGUAAAAAGACAAUAAUAUACAAUUGCUUCUAAGAGAAUGACAAUGACUGCUUGGAAAUGUCCUAUCUGUAUAUUUCAUUAACUUUUCAAUGCAAGGAUUUGCACAGGCACCAGUUGUGAAUUGGUAUAGUGCAGACAAAUACCCAUUAAAUGUGUUAAAACCCACA